AUGGAGAAGAAGAAGAGCGGGGGUGGCAGUGGCUUCCGAUCCCAUAGGGUAGGCACUGACGCCGACAGGUUCCUGGGCAGCGGCGGGCCGGGAGAACCUAGCGCCAGGGUCACUGCAGUUCUUGACUUCGGUGGCAAUAAGGAGUGGGCUGGUGAGUGGGAUGGCACAGCCAAGUCAGUGACUAAGGAUCUAGCCAUGAAGAACAUGGAGUUGGAGGCCAGGAUUAAAGUACUUGAAGCAGAAACUAAAAGUAAUGAGAAAGAAAAGAGAGCAUUUGUUAAGAUGCAGAAGCAAAGAGAGCAAUUUAGGGAUAAGAUUUUUUGUUUUGGAGCUCUUCUUUAUGGUGGCCUAUUUGCCAUUCUGCUAGUUGUCAUUGUUAGAAAGUAG
RNAcentral lists this ribosomal RNA (387 nucleotides) under Triticum aestivum (bread wheat). RNAcentral describes it as "partial small subunit ribosomal RNA". Lineage: Eukaryota; Viridiplantae; Streptophyta; Magnoliopsida; Poales; Poaceae. The record is from RNAcentral.